This 305-nucleotide ribosomal RNA is filed under the name uncultured bacterium. RNAcentral describes it as "bacterial SSU rRNA". It matches the Rfam family "Bacterial small subunit ribosomal RNA", at positions 331 to 652 of the family's 1533-position model. The record is from RNAcentral.
CUGAACCUACGGGGGGCAGCAGUGGGGAAUAUUGCACAAUGGGGGAAACCCUGAUGCAGCAACGCCGCGUGAAGGAAGACGGUUUUCGGAUUGUAAACUUCUUUUCUUAGUGAAGAAGCAAGUGACGGUAGCUAAGGAAUAAGCAUCGGCUAACUACGUGCCAGCAGCCGCGGUAAUACGUAGGAUGCGAGCGUUAUCCGGAAUUACUGGGUGUAAAGGGAGCGCAGGCGGGACUGCCAGUUGGCUGUGAAAUACCGCCGCUUAACUUCGGAGAUGCAUCCAAAACUGUAGUUCUUGAGUGGAGU